CUGCGGCAGCGAACGUAUCACCCAAGACAACUUUACGGAGUUGACGAUUGACGGAGCGAAGCGACGUCAAAGCGUUCAUUAAAGUCGAGUUGGCUUAGGGAUACGUUCGUUGGGUAGGGGAGCGUUCUGUAAGCCUGUGAAGGUGUGUCGUGAGGCAUGCUGGAGGUAUCAGAAGUGCGAAUGCUGACAUAAGUAACGAUAAAGCGGGUGAAAAGCCCGCUCGCCGGAAGACCAAGGGUUCCUGUCCAACGUUAAUCGGGGCAGGGUGAGUCGACCCCUAAGGCGAGGCCGAAAGGCGUAGUCGAUGGGAAACGGGUUAAUAUUCCCGUACUUGGUGUUACUGCGAAGGGGGGACGGAGAAGGCUAUGUUGGCCGGGCGACGGUUGUCCCGGUUUAAGCGUGUAGGUGUGUGUUCCAGGUAAAUCCGGUUCACUUUAACACUGAGGCGUGACGACGAGGCACUACGGUGCUGAAGCAACAAAUGCCCUGCUUCCAGGAAAAGCCUCUAAGCAUCAGGUAACACGAAAUCGUACCCCAAACCGACACAGGUGGUCAGGUAGAGAAUACCAAGGCGCUUGAGAGAACUCGGGUGAAGGAACUAGGCAAAAUGGUGCCGUAACUUCGGGAGAAGGCACGCUGACACGUAGGUGAAGUGAUUUACUCAUGGAGCUGAAGUCAGUCGAAGAUACCAGCUGGCUGCAACUGUUUAUUAAAAACACAGCACUGUGCAAACACGAAAGUGGACGUAUACGGUGUGACGCCUGCCCGGUGCCGGAAGGUUAAUUGAUGGGGUCAGCGUAAGCGAAGCUCCUGAUCGAAGCCCCGGUAAACGGCGGCCGUAACUAUAACGGUCCUAAGGUAGCGAAAUUCCUUGUCGGGUAAGUUCCGACCUGCACGAAUGGCGUAAUGAUGGCCAGGCUGUCUCCACCCGAGACUCAGUGAAAUUGAACUCGCUGUGAAGAUGCAGUGUACCCGCGGCAAGACGGAAAGACCCCGUGAACCUUUACUAUAGCUUGACACUGAACAUUGAGCCUUGAUGUGUAGGAUAGGUGGGAGGCUUUGAAGUGUGGACGCCAGUCUGCAUGGAGCCGACCUUGAAAUACCACCCUUUAAUGUUUGAUGUUCUAACGUGGACCCGUAAUCCGGGUUGCGGACAGUGUCUGGUGGGUAGUUUGACUGGGGCGGUCUCCUCCUAAAGAGUAACGGAGGAGCACGAAGGUUGGCUAAUCCUGGUCGGACAUCAGGAGGUUAGUGCAAUGGCAUAAGCCAGCUUGACUGCGAGCGUGACGGCGCGAGCAGGUGCGAAAGCAGGUCAUAGUGAUCCGGUGGUUCUGAAUGGAAGGGCCAUCGCUCAACGGAUAAAAGGUACUCCGGGGAUAACAGGCUGAUACCGCCCAAGAGUUCAUAUCGACGGCGGUGUUUGGCACCUCGAUGUCGGCUCAUCACAUCCUGGGGCUGAAGUAGGUCCCAAGGGUAUGGCUGUUCGCCAUUUAAAGUGGUACGCGAGCUGGGUUUAGAACGUCGUGAGACAGUUCGGUCCCUAUCUGCCGUGGGCGCUGGAGAACUGAGGGGGGCUGCUCCUAGUACGAGAGGACCGGAGUGGACGCAUCACUGGUGUUCGGGUUGUCAUGCCAAUGGCACUGCCCGGUAGCUAAAUGCGGAAGAGAUAAGUGCUGAAAGCAUCUAAGCACGAAACUUGCCCCGA
Molecule: ribosomal RNA, 1705 nt
Filed under: Salmonella enterica
Lineage: Bacteria; Pseudomonadati; Pseudomonadota; Gammaproteobacteria; Enterobacterales; Enterobacteriaceae
Also listed under: 1 other name
Description: partial 23S ribosomal RNA
Rfam family: Bacterial large subunit ribosomal RNA
Source: RNAcentral